RNAcentral lists this ribosomal RNA (1343 nucleotides) under uncultured bacterium. Its description in RNAcentral is "16S ribosomal RNA". It matches the Rfam family "Bacterial small subunit ribosomal RNA", at positions 28 to 1378 of the family's 1533-position model. The record is from RNAcentral.
GACGAACGCUGGCGGCGUGCUUAACACAUGCAAGUCGAACGGAAAGGCCCUGCUUUUGUGGGGUGCUCGAGUGGCGAACGGGUGAGUAACACGUGAGUAACCUGCCCUUGACUUUGGGAUAACUUCAGGAAACUGGGGCUAAUACCGGAUAGGAGCUCCUGCUGCAUGGUGGGGGUUGGAAAGUUUCGGCGGUUGGGGAUGGACUCGCGGCUUAUCAGCUUGUUGGUGGGGUAGUGGCUUACCAAGGCUUUGACGGGUAGCCGGCCUGAGAGGGUGACCGGCCACAUUGGGACUGAGAUACGGCCCAGACUCCUACGGGAGGCAGCAGUGGGGAAUAUUGCACAAUGGGCGGAAGCCUGAUGCAGCAACGCCGCGUGCGGGAUGACGGCCUUCGGGUUGUAAACCGCUUUCGCCUGUGACGAAGCGUGAGUGACGGUAAUGGGUAAAGAAGCACCGGCUAACUACGUGCCAGCAGCCGCGGUGAUACGUAGGGUGCGAGCGUUGUCCGGAUUUAUUGGGCGUAAAGGGCUCGUAGGUGGUUGAUCGCGUCGGAAGUGUAAUCUUGGGGCUUAACCCUGAGCGUGCUUUCGAUACGGGUUGACUUGAGGAAGGUAGGGGAGAAUGGAAUUCCUGGUGGAGCGGUGGAAUGCGCAGAUAUCAGGAGGGACACCAGUGGCGAAGGCGGUUCUCUGGGCCUUUCCUGACGCUGAGGAGCGAAAGCGUGGGGAGCGAACAGGCUUAGAUACCCUGGUAGUCCACGCUGUAAACGGUGGGUACUAGGUGUGGGGUCCAUUCCACGGGUUCCGUGCCGUAGCUAACGCUUUAAGUACCCCGCCUGGGGAGUACGGCCGCAAGGCUAAAACUCAAAGGAAUUGACGGGGCCCCGCACAAGCGGCGGAGCAUGCGGAUUAAUUCGAUGCAACGCGUAGAACCUUACCUGGGUUUGACAUGGAUCGGGAGUGCUCAGAGAUGGGUGUGCCUCUUUUGGGGUCGGUUCACAGGUGGUGCAUGGCUGUCGUCAGCUCGUGUCGUGAGAUGUUGGGUUGAGUCCCGCAACGAGCGCAACCCUUGUUCACUGUUGCCAGCACGUUAUGGUGGGGACUCAGUGGAGACCGCCGGGGUCAACUCGGAGGAAGGUGGGGAUGACGUCAAGUCAUCAUGCCCCUUAUGUCCAGGGCUUCACGCAUGCUACAAUGGCUGGUACAGAGAGUGGCGAGCCUGUGAGGGUGAGCGAAUCUCGGAAAGCCGGUCUCAGUUCGGAUUGGGGUCUGCAACUCGACCUCAUGAAGUCGGAGUCGCUAGUAAUCGCAGAUCAGCAACGCUGCGGUGAAUACGUUCCCGGG